AUUCCAGCUCCAAUAGCGUAUAUUAAAGUUGUUGCAGUUAAAAAGCUCGUAGUUGGAUUUGUGAUGGAAUCUGAAUGACUUUAGGGUUAUUUGGACACCGUCAUCUUUAGGUGGAAUUUGUUUGGCAUUAGGUUGUCAGAUAAAGGAUGCCUAUCCUUUACUGUGAAAAAAUCAGUGCGUUCAAAGCAGGCUUAUGCCGUUGAAUGUAUUAGCAUGGAAUAAUAAGAUAGGACCUUUGUACUAUUUUGUUGGUUUGUGUACUCAGGUAAUGAUUAAAAGGAACAGUUGGGGGUAUUUGUAUUCCAUUGUCAGAGGUGAAAUUCUUGGAUUUUUGGAAGACAAACUACUGCGAAAGCAUUUACCAAGGAUGUUUUC
Molecule: ribosomal RNA, 375 nt
Filed under: Cymbella proxima
Lineage: Eukaryota; Bacillariophyta; Bacillariophyceae; Cymbellales; Cymbellaceae
Description: SSU rRNA
Rfam family: Eukaryotic small subunit ribosomal RNA
Source: RNAcentral